Long non-coding RNA from Solenopsis invicta (red fire ant), 755 nucleotides. RefSeq lists it as uncharacterized. The record is from RefSeq and is a predicted model, not a curated record. NCBI's taxonomy places the organism in Eukaryota, Metazoa, Arthropoda, Insecta, Hymenoptera, Formicidae. The transcript has 2 exons.
AUUUUGAAGGAGAUAAAAUAAAUUUGCCUGAAAUUUAACUCUAUUUUGUUUUAUUUAAAAAUUCCCGGUACUUUCUGAUCAUAGGGUAUAUGCUGCGAUGCAGUUUGAAUAAUCCAUGCUUUGAAAUGACAAGAGACAUUAUUAUCGUCUGAUUUUCAAAAUAAAUUUUAAAAAUAAAACUGUGUCACAGAAACGAUCUAAAGCUCAUUUCUUUUCAAAGUUAUUACAUGUUUGAUUAUAUAAACGAUAGGAGAUUACCCUAUAUCGAUCUAUGAAUGAAUGUUCACACAAACGAUUGACUACAGGAAGAUUUAAUUAUCCAAACACUUUGUGGUGGUUUUAUGGCGGGUUUGUUACGUCCUACGAAAAUCAAGAGAAACUUGGAACGAGAAGGACUUGUUGCGAACGUAACAGAUUAUGUGACGCAUGUACAUAUAAUGCGAUAUAUGCACAAUAUAUUAAACUAGUACACUCUUCUAAACGCAAACGUUAUUAACGUUCUGAUAAAAGCCGUUAUGGAAGAAAGUGCAAUUGGCUUUCGAUUUUUUUGUCGAGUCAAAAAUGUUAAGGUGUGGUUCGGUGAAUCUUACACACAGCGCAGCAAGAGACUGAAAGACUCUUAGUGUAACUCCUUGAUAUAUACUUGUCACAAAGUUUAUUAAUGUAAGACAAAAUGAAAUGUAAUGCGUACAGUAUGAUAAAAUACACGCUGCUUAAAUACAGCACGACCGUGCGCGCAUAACAAGAGAGAAAAA